RNAcentral lists this ribosomal RNA (1397 nucleotides) under Burkholderia multivorans. Its description in RNAcentral is "partial 23S ribosomal RNA". It matches the Rfam family "Bacterial large subunit ribosomal RNA", at positions 1 to 1445 of the family's 2925-position model. Lineage: Bacteria; Pseudomonadati; Pseudomonadota; Betaproteobacteria; Burkholderiales; Burkholderiaceae. The record is from RNAcentral.
GGUCAAGCGAACAAGUGCAUGUGGUGGAUGCCUUGGCGAUCACAGGCGAUGAAGGACGCGGUAGCCUGCGAAAAGCCCCGGGGAGCUGGCAAACAAGCUUUGAUCCGGGGAUGUCCGAAUGGGGAAACCCACUCCUUAUGGAGUAUCCAUGACUGAAUACAUAGGUCAUGUGAAGCGAACGCGGUGAACUGAAACAUCUAAGUAACCGCAGGAAAAGAAAUCAACCGAGAUUCCCAAAGUAGUGGCGAGCGAAAUGGGAUGAGCCUUGUACUCUUUAUUUGUAUUGUUAGCCGAACGCUCUGGAAAGUGCGGCCAUAGCAGGUGAUAGCCCUGUAGGCGAAAACAGUAUGAAAGAACUAGGUGUACGACAAGUAGGGCGGGACACGUGAAAUCCUGUCUGAAGAUGGGGGGACCAUCCUCCAAGGCUAAAUACUCGUGAUCGACCGAUAGUGAACCAGUACCGUGAGGGAAAGGCGAAAAGAACCCCGGGAGGGGAGUGAAAUAGAUCCUGAAACCGCAUGCAUACAAACAGUCGGAGCCUCGUAAGGGGUGACGGCGUACCUUUUGUAUAAUGGGUCAGCGACUUACGUUCAGUAGCAAGCUUAACCGUAUAGGGCAGGCGUAGCGAAAGCGAGUCCGAAUAGGGCGUUCAGUUGCUGGGCGUAGACCCGAAACCAGGUGAUCUAUCCAUGGCCAGGAUGAAGGUGCGGUAACACGUACUGGAGGUCCGAACCCACUAACGUUGAAAAGUUAGGGGAUGAGCUGUGGAUAGGGGUGAAAGGCUAAACAAACCUGGAAAUAGCUGGUUCUCUCCGAAAACUAUUUAGGUAGUGCCUCGUGUCUCACCUUCGGGGGUAGAGCACUGUCAUGGUUGGGGGGUCUAUUGCAGAUUACCCCGCCAUAGCAAACUCCGAAUACCGAAGAGUGCAAUCACGGGAGACAGACAUCGGGUGCUAACGUCCGGUGUCAAGAGGGAAACAACCCAGACCGCCAGCUAAGGUCCCCAAAUAUGGCUAAGUGGGAAACGAAGUGGGAAGGCUAAAACAGUCAGGAGGUUGGCUUAGAAGCAGCCACCCUUUAAAGAAAGCGUAAUAGCUCACUGAUCGAGUCGUCCUGCGCGGAAGAUGUAACGGGGCUAAGCCAUAUACCGAAGCUGCGGAUGCGUGCUUGCACGCAUGGUAGGAGAGCGUUCCGUAAGCCUGCGAAGGUGCCUUGUAAAGGGUGCUGGAGGUAUCGGAAGUGCGAAUGCUGACAUGAGUAGCGAUAAAGGGGGUGAAAGGCCCCCUCGCCGUAAGCCCAAGGUUUCCUACGCAACGUUCAUCGGCGUAGGGUGAGUCGGCCCCUAAGGCGAGGCAGAAAUGCGUAGCUGAUGGGAAGCAGGUCAAUAUUCCUGCACC